AUCAACUAUUACCUCGAUUCACCAAAUUCUAUGACAGAAUCAGUUCAUUUCUAUACACCCACGCUUCCUGAAAAUAUUAGCAAAGGCCAAUAAAUAGAGAAUGCUUCACAUUACCAUCUAUGCACUAUGAAGAUAUUUCAAAACAGGACACUGCGCAUGACCAAUUCUGAAAGGAAUGCCGAGACAUACUUCAGCUGACUUCAGCAGUUUUAUUCAAGAGGUCUGAAUGUCAUCUCAGAUUUACAACUGAAUGACGAUCAACAGACAAUGAUGGGCCAGCAGUUAUCCACAAUGUCUGCACCCAUCAGUGUGUCACUGUGUCACACUCCUGAACCGAGUUCAACAACUCACUUUCAAGUUCACAUGAGUCAAGUGACAACAUUUGAAUUGUUAAUUACGCAUCGUUUCCCCCUUCAGGACGAAAUCAAGACCAGCCGUGGAAUGACUUUUAAUCCCGUUCCAUUUGGCUCCGGGAAUCGGUUUGAAUCAACGACCAACGACUCACCAAACGUCAAAUCGAUUUCGUUGGCGGUUUCUCACCUGCCAAGGUGGACAAUGUGGAAGUUGUGAUGAUGGCAGACUUCGCAACUACCGCCGUAUCAGCCAAUAUGAACUCCGGACCGGUAAAACUGCUCAAAAUCGUGAAAGCGGAAAUACAGGCAGUUUCGGGCACUAAGUACAAACUAAACCUCGAGAUAAGAUUGCAGUAGAAUAUUUUCAAAAAAGCCAAUUGUUCAAACGGUUCGAAAUUGAAGAUUUAUUCAUUCACUGAAUAAAUGAGUCAAAUGGCUCAAAUGUCAAUUGACCCAUCCCCAGCGACGUCAACCUGCAGAAAGAAAAAGGCCGUUUCUAUGGCCUUCAGACUCGAAGAUCGCGGAGAUAAUUACGUAAACUGGCAUGGGGUGGCGUAGAGGUUGGGUGAGAAUGACACGUUUUUCAACAUUAUCAAGCAGACCCAUCCCCAGCAACGUCUACCUAAAGAAGGAAAUAAAGGCCAGUUUGCAUUUCAAUCGAAGGUCAUGGAGAUCAUUACGAAAAGGUGUCAUACAGUGGAGAAGAGGUUGGGUGAGAAUGGGACGUUUUGCAUCAUUAUCAAGAAGGUAAAAUAGCCGCAAGGCUUGAGAGGAGGGGUGAGAAAAAGUCGUAUAAAAGGCGAGAGAAAAGUCGACAGGGAUCAGUCGAGUGAGUGUCUCCGACACGGCAACAGCUGCAUUCUUCGUCGUAAUAUCAGUUCGCAAUUAUGGGUAAAUAUUCAUUUUUAAUUUUGAUUCGUAAGUCUAUUGUAUCUUGUUUUGAGUUGUUGAUACGACUAGUAUCUUCGAAAAAUAAUAUCCAAUUGUUUAUUUUAUUGCAUAGUUAGUUAUGGAGUUGUGUUGCUGUUGGGUGUUGUAUCGUUGAUGUCGACCACGAGAGAAAAUCUUUUAGAAGGAAAGAAAAAAGGCAACGGAAGUCAAUCGAGUGAGCAUCUCCGACCAUGCAGCAGCUGCAUUCUUCGUCGUAUUAUCACUUUAUCAGGUCACAAUCACGGUCUGGCUGAUGCUGUCGUGCUGCUAUUGGUUGUUGUAUCGUCGAUGGCUGGGUGGACGGCUGGUGUUCCGAUGUCUCCUGGAUAAGGCGGAUACCAAACCGCAACGCCACCGCCUUACUACACAACAACAUACGCAACGACCAGUUACUACACCGAGGUUGCACAGUUGGGUUUACAGUUAAGCCACCAAGGAUCCAGAUUAUUACACCACAACUUGUGCUGCUCCCCGAGCUACACUACGAAAGCGCUAGAGUACUACACCGAGGCUCCCAAGUACUACACCACCAAGGCACCUGAGAUUACGCAACUACUUAUGCUGCCCCAACCAACGACACCGAGGCUUCAGCUUAUUACACAACCAAAGCUGUCGAAUUCUACACUGGAACGCCCAAGUACGACAGAAAUCAGUCUAGCUAGCUUCUCCGACACCCAACACGGCAGCCCUGAAGUUUCGAAUAAACUUCGCUUCAAACAGUGGAACGGCAAAGAAUGAAGACGAAUUCUACUGCAAUCGCGUCGAAUUGAAUAGUAAAGACAACACAUUCGUACGUGUACACCGCGUCGUUAACUUGACAUUGUUGGUCGGAAAGCCGAACUUGACGAUGGCCGUACCAUCACCUACGACAAGUGCGUUAUUGCCACAGGUAGUAAACGAAAAUCUUUUCCAAUCCCUGAGCGGUGCCCUUAAAGAUGUCCACGAGCACGUCACGCUGUCCCGCAACAUCGAUGGCGCUAACACAUGCCGAGUCCUCUAAAUGUUUAACCAAUGGACAACCGAGAAGGUGAAAGCGGAAAGUGUUAAUGUUUUGCCCAAAGCUUAUGUUGAGGCUGCAACUUUGGAAGACGACGAGGUCGCAUUGACCUUAAACGAUGGUUAAAAGCAGAUUCUAACUAUGUCGUCGCUGUUGUCGGUUUCAACGCAAACACGGAUUUGGCUGUCGCUUCUGGUUUGGAAAUAGAUUCCAAUUUUGGUGGUUAUCGAGUCAAUACCGAGCUCGAAGCACGAUCGGCCGUCUGGCUGGCCGGAGAUGCUGCCUUCUUUUGUGAUAUCAAAUUGGGUCGUCGUCGUAGGGAAUAUCAUCACUUUGCUGUUGUAUCAGGGUGAUUGGCUGGAGAGAACAAUACUGGCAAGGAAACAUGGAUGAACAACUGCAGUGUACUCUUCCCAAGUGCAUUCUUCUUCGUAUUAUCAGUACGCAAUCGGUUGAUGAUGAUGUCGUGCUGUUGCCGUUUGUCGUAUCGUUGAAGGCUGGGUCGAUCACUGGUGUACCAAUGUCUCCUGGGUAUGGUGGAUACCAAAGCACCACACCGCUGCCUUACUACACAACGACAACAUUCGCACCAACCGGUUACUACACUGAGGCUCACAAUUACUACAUCACCAAGGCUCCAGAAUAUUACACCGCAGAUAACGCUUCCCCGAGCUACAUCAUCAAAGAUCCUGAGUACUACACCGAGGCUCCCAAGUGCUACACCACCAAGUCACCGGAGUACUACACGUAUGUUGCCCCAGCUUACUACACCGAGAGGUUUCCAAGAAUUAUUUAGUUCCUAGCUACUACACCGAGGCUCCAACUUAUUACACCACCAAAGCGGUUGAAUACUACACCGAGACACCCAAUUACUACACCACCAAGGCUCCAGAGUAUUACACCACAACUUGUGCUACCCCGAGCCACUACACCGAAGCCCCGAAGUAUUACUCUGCCCCAAGCUACACAACUGCAACUGAGGCGGCCAAGUAUUACGCAGCCCCGACUAACUACACAGCGGAUGUUCCUUCGUACUACGUUGAACCGGAAUACUACACCGAGGCUCCAGUUUACUACACCACAACCUACGCUACACCUACUACACACUACACCGAGGCCCCUAUGUACUACACUACCAAGGCACCCGAGUAUUAUAAAACUACUUACGCUGCUCCGACCAACUACACCGAAGCUCCGAAGUAUUACUCUAUCCCGAGUUACUACACCACUAAGGCACCUGAAUAUUACACCACACCCUACGCUUCUCCAACUUACUACAGGGACGUUUCUGAAUACUAAAGUCGAAUUUUCAAUUUUAAUAAUUAUGUUCAUAUUUGUCGGUCAUAUCACAAUAAUUACUAGUCACUGGGAAUUGUUGAUCUUUAAAGAGAAAUAAAAUUUUGUUAACCUGGGUAA
Long non-coding RNA from Daphnia pulex (common water flea), 3696 nucleotides. RefSeq lists it as uncharacterized. The record is from RefSeq and is a predicted model, not a curated record. The transcript is spliced from 12 exons. NCBI's taxonomy places the organism in Eukaryota, Metazoa, Arthropoda, Branchiopoda, Diplostraca, Daphniidae.